This 41-nucleotide ribosomal RNA is filed under the name Gnetum hainanense. RNAcentral describes it as "partial 26S ribosomal RNA". The record is from RNAcentral. Lineage: Eukaryota; Viridiplantae; Streptophyta; Gnetopsida; Gnetales; Gnetaceae.
ACCCCAGUUCAGGCGAGGGUACCCGCCGAGUUUAAGCAUAU